Molecule: unclassified non-coding RNA, 345 nt
Filed under: soil metagenome
Description: partial contains 5.8S ribosomal RNA, internal transcribed spacer 2, and large subunit ribosomal RNA
Rfam family: 5.8S ribosomal RNA (bases 1-120)
Source: RNAcentral
GAUGAAGAACGUAGCGAAAUGCGAUAAGUAAUGUGAAUUGCAGAAUUCAGUGAAUCAUCGAAUCUUUGAACGCAUCUUGCGCUCCUUGGUAUUGCGAGGAGCAUGCCUGUCCGAGCGUCAUUGCUGCCCUCAAGCACGGCUUGUGUGUUGGGCCUCCGUCCUCCUCCCGGGGGACGGGCCCGGAAGGCAGCGGCGGCACCGCGUCCGGUCCUCGAGCGUAUGGGGCUUCGUCACCCGCUCUUGUAGGCCCGGCCGGCGCUUGCCGACACAUCAAUCUUUUUUCCAGGUUGACCUCGGAUCAGGUAGGGAUACCCGCUGAACUUAAGCAUAUCAAUAAGCGGAGGA